GAGUUUGAUUAUGGCUCAGGAUGAACGCUAGCUACAGGCUUAACACAUGCAAGUCGAGGGGCAGCAUGAAGUCAGCUUGCUGACUUUGAUGGCGACCGGCGCACGGGUGCGUAACGCGUAUCAAACCUGCCGCAUACUCGGGGAUAGCCUUGCGAAAGUAAGAUUAAUACCCGAUGUUAUUGUUUUUCCGCAUGGGGAGAUAAUCAAAGAUUUUAUCGGUAUGCGAUGGUGAUGCGUCUGAUUAGGUAGUAGGCGGGGUAACGGCCCACCUAGCCAACGAUCAGUAGGGGUUCUGAGAGGAAGGUCCCCCACACUGGAACUGAGACACGGUCCAGACUCCUACGGGAGGCAGCAGUGAGGAAUAUUGGUCAAUGGACGGAAGUCUGAACCAGCCAAGUAGCGUGCAGGAUGACGGCCCUCCGGGUUGUAAACUGCUUUUAGUUGGGAAUAACGGCGGGGACGCGUCCCCGAAAGGAAUNACCUCAAAANGC
RNAcentral lists this ribosomal RNA (491 nucleotides) under Prevotella sp. canine oral taxon 226. RNAcentral describes it as "bacterial SSU rRNA". It matches the Rfam family "Bacterial small subunit ribosomal RNA", at positions 9 to 491 of the family's 1533-position model. The record is from RNAcentral. Lineage: Bacteria; Pseudomonadati; Bacteroidota; Bacteroidia; Bacteroidales; Prevotellaceae.